This 353-nucleotide ribosomal RNA is filed under the name uncultured bacterium. Its description in RNAcentral is "bacterial SSU rRNA". It matches the Rfam family "Bacterial small subunit ribosomal RNA", at positions 8 to 350 of the family's 1533-position model. The record is from RNAcentral.
AGAGUUUGAUCCUGGCUCAGGAUGAACGCUAGCUACAGGCUUAACACAUGCAAGUCGAGGGGAAACGACAUCGAAAGCUUGCUUUUGAUGGGCGUCGACCGGCGCACGGGUGAGUAACGCGUAUCCAACCUGCCCAUCACUUGGGGAUAACCUUGCGAAAGUAAGACUAAUACCCAAUGAUAUCUCUAGAAGACAUCUGAAAGAGAUUAAAGAUUUAUCGGUGAUGGAUGGGGAUGCGUCUGAUUAGCUUGUUGGCGGGGUAACGGCCACCAAGGCUACGAUCAGUAGGGGUUCUGAGAGGAAGGUCCCCCACAUUGGAACUGAGACACGGUACCAAAAGUCCUACGGGAGCA